This 253-nucleotide ribosomal RNA is filed under the name uncultured bacterium. RNAcentral's name for it is "partial 16S ribosomal RNA". It matches the Rfam family "Bacterial small subunit ribosomal RNA", at positions 524 to 776 of the family's 1533-position model. The record is from RNAcentral.
UACGUAGGCAGCAAGCGUUGUUCGGAGUUACUGGGCGUAAAGAGUGCGUAGGCGGUGUCGAAAGUUUGGCGUGAAAUCUCCCGGCUUAACUGGGAGGGUGCGCCGAAAACUGCGAUGCUGGAGUGUGGGAAAGGCAAGCGGAAUUCCUGGUGUAGCGGUGAAAUGCGUAGAUAUCAGGAGGAACACCGGCGGCGAAGGCGGGUCUCUGGGCCGAUACUGACGCUGAGGAGCGAAAGCGUGGGGAGCGAACAGG